GAAGGUCUAAUAAUGGUUCGGAUAGAAGAUGCGCCCUUGUGACAAUGAUUUACCAAAAAAGCGGGAAAUAUAGAACUCCCCUCCGUAAUUUAAAAGAGACGACAUUGGUACAAGGAAAUGUGAUUGUCCGUUUAAGGUUCGUGGUUACAUGUUGGCAAACGAAAAUUGGAGAUUUAAUGUGAUAUGUGGUUUGCAUAACCAUGAUUUGUGUUUAGGGUGCGGUUCCAGAGAUAUAUCUCUGAAAUCAACAUGUUAGUCAUUGAGUGGUCCAUAUUGAUCUAUGGCUUCUAUAAUUUAAGGUGUUCUUUUGUUAUAUUUCACACAAACUGAAAAUAUCUCAAAUGUUG
This 347-nucleotide long non-coding RNA is filed under the name Lathyrus oleraceus (garden pea). Its description in RNAcentral is "Pisum sativum (pea) long non-coding RNA (PSAT_LNC009092)". Lineage: Eukaryota; Viridiplantae; Streptophyta; Magnoliopsida; Fabales; Fabaceae. The record is from RNAcentral.